CAUUAAUGAAUUAUGAAAGGGGUUGUCGCUGGCUGUUAGCAGCAUGUGCACGCUCUGAUCAUUAUCCAUCUUACACACCUGUGCACACACUGUAAGUCGGCUUUUGAUGCAAAGUAAGGGUCUUCAUUGACUCUGCUUCAAAUUGGGAGCCUUCUUAUGUUUUAUCACACACUACUUCAGUUUAAAGAAUGUCAAAUCGCGUUUAACGCAUUUAAAUACAACUUUCAGCAACGGAUCUCUUGGCUCUCGCAUCGAUGAAGAACGCAGCGAAAUGCGAUAAGUAAUGUGAAUUGCAGAAUUCAGUGAAUCAUCGAAUCUUUGAACGCACCUUGCGCUCCUUGGUAUUCCGAGGAGCAUGCCUGUUUGAGUGUCAUGGAAUCAUCAACUCUAUUUACUUUUGUGAAUAGGGCUUGGACUUGGAGGUUUUGCCGGUACUUGUGAUCGGCUCCUCUUGAAUGCAUUAGCUUGAACCUUUGUGGAUCAGCUUAUCGGUGUGAUAAUUGUCUACGCCGUUACUGUGAAGCAUAUAUUAAAGGGCUCGGCUUCUAAUCGUCCUUUACGGGACAAUAACUUUGACCUUUGACCUCAAAUCAGGUAGGAUUACCCGCUGAACUUAAGCAUAUCAAUAAGCGGAGGAAAAGAAACUAACAAGGAUUCCCCUAGUAACUGCGAGUGAAGCGGGAAAAGCUCAAAUUUAAAAUCUGGCGGUCUUAUGGCCGUCCGAAUUGUAGUCUGGAGAAGUGCUUUCCGCGCUGGACCGUGUACAAGUCUCUUGGAACAGAGCGUCAUAGAGGGUGAGAAUCCCGUCUUUGACACGGACUACCAGUGCUUUGUGAUGCGCUCUC
This 845-nucleotide small RNA is filed under the name Fomitopsis betulina (razor strop fungus). RNAcentral describes it as "eukaryotic LSU rRNA". The stretch from base 581 to 845 matches the Rfam family "Eukaryotic large subunit ribosomal RNA", at positions 1 to 258 of the family's 3401-position model. Lineage: Eukaryota; Fungi; Basidiomycota; Agaricomycetes; Polyporales; Fomitopsidaceae. The record is from RNAcentral.